GGUUAAGCGACUAAGCGUACACGGUGGAUGCCCCGGCAGUCAGAGGCGAUGAAGGACGUGCUAAUCUGCGAUAAGCGUCGGUAAGGUGAUAUGAACCGUUAUAACCGGCGAUUUCCGAAUGGGGAAACCCAGUGUGUUUCGACACACUAUCAUUAACUGAAUCCAUAGGUUAAUGAGGCGAACCGGGGGAACUGAAACAUCUAAGUACCCCGAGGAAAAGAAAUCAACCGAGAUUCCCCCAGUAGCGGCGAGCGAACGGGGAGCAGCCCAGAGCCUGAAUCAGUGUGUGUGUUAGUGGAAGCGUCUGGAAAGGCGCGCGAUACAGGGUGACAGCCCCGUACACAAAAAUGCACAUGCUGUGAGCUCGAUGAGUAGGGCGGGACACGUGGUAUCCUGUCUGAAUAUGGGGGGACCAUCCUCCAAGGCUAAAUACUCCUGACUGACCGAUAGUGAACCAGUACCGUGAGGGAAAGGCGAAAAGAACCCCGGCGAGGGGAGUGAAAAAGAACCUGAAACCGUGUACGUACAAGCAGUGGGAGCACGCUUAGGCGUGUGACUGCGUACCUUUUGUAUAAUGGGUCAGCGACUUAUAUUCUGUAGCAAGGUUAACCGAAUAGGGGAGCCGAAGGGAAACCGAGUCUUAACUGGGCGUUAAGUUGCAGGGUAUAGACCCGAAACCCGGUGAUCUAGCCAUGGGCAGGUUGAAGGUUGGGUAACACUAACUGGAGGACCGAACCGACUAAUGUUGAAAAAUUAGCGGAUGACUUGUGGCUGGGGGUGAAAGGCCAAUCAAACCGGGAGAUAGCUGGUUCUCCCCGAAAGCUAUUUAGGUAGCGCCUCGUGAAUUCAUCUCCGGGGGUAGAGCACUGUUUCGGCAAGGGGGUCAUCCCGACUUACCAACCCGAUGCAAACUGCGAAUACCGGAGAAUGUUAUCACGGGAGACACACGGCGGGUGCUAACGUCCGUCGUGAAGAGGGAAACAACCCAGACCGCCAGCUAAGGUCCCAAAGUCAUGGUUAAGUGGGAAACGAUGUGGGAAGGCCCAGACAGCCGGGAUGUUGGCUUAGAAGCAGCCAUCAUUUAAAGAAAGCGUAAUAGCUCACUGGUCGAGUCGGCCUGCGCGGAAGAUGUAACGGGGCUAAACCAUGCACCGAAGCUGCGGCAGCGACACUAUGUGUUGUUGGGUAGGGGAGCGUUCUGUAAGCCUGUGAAGGUGUGCUGUGAGGCAUGCUGGAGGUAUCAGAAGUGCGAAUGCUGACAUAAGUAACGAUAAAGCGGGUGAAAAGCCCGCUCGCCGGAAGACCAAGGGUUCCUGUCCAACGUUAAUCGGGGCAGGGUGAGUCGACCCCUAAGGCGAGGCCGAAAGGCGUAGUCGAUGGGAAACAGGUUAAUAUUCCUGUACUUGGUGUUACUGCGAAGGGGGGACGGAGAAGGCUAUGUUGGCCGGGCGACGGUUGUCCCGGUUUAAGCGUGUAGGCUGGUUUUCCGGGCAAAUCCGGAAAAUCAAGGCUGAGGCGUGAUGACGAGGCACUACGGUGCUGAAGCAACAAAUGCCCUGCUUCCGGGAAAAGCCUCUAAGCAUCAGGUAACAUCAAAUCGUACCCCAAACCGACACAGGUGGUCAGGUAGAGAAUACCAAGGCGCUUGAGAGAACUCGGGUGAAGGAACUAGGCAAAAUGGUGCCGUAACUUCGGGAGAAGGCACGCUGAUAUGUAGGUGAAGUCCCUUGCGGAUGGAGCUGAAAUCAGUCGAAGAUACCAGCUGGCUGCAACUGUUUAUUAAAAACACAGCACUGUGCAAACACGAAAGUGGACGUAUACGGUGUGACGCCUGCCCGGUGCCGGAAGGUUAAUUGAUGGGGUCAGCGCAAGCGAAGCUCUUGAUCGAAGCCCCGGUAAACGGCGGCCGUAACUAUAACGGUCCUAAGGUAGCGAAAUUCCUUGUCGGGUAAGUUCCGACCUGCACGAAUGGCGUAAUGAUGGCCGGGCUGUCUCCACCCGAGACUCAGUGAAAUUGAACUCGCUGUGAAGAUGCAGUGUACCCGCGGCAAGACGGAAAGACCCCGUGAACCUUUACUAUAGCUUGACACUGAACAUUGAGCCUUGAUGUGUAGGAUAGGUGGGAGGCUUGGAAGUGUGGACGCCAGUCUGCAUGGAGCCGACCUUGAAAUACCACCCUUUAAUGUUUGAUGUUCUAACGUUGACCCGUAAUCCGGGUUGCGGACAGUGUCUGGUGGGUAGUUUGACUGGGGCGGUCUCCUCCUAAAGAGUAACGGAGGAGCACGAAGGUUGGCUAAUCCUGGUCGGACAUCAGGAGGUUAGUGCAAUGGCAUAAGCCAGCUUGACUGCGAGCGUGACGGCGCGAGCAGGUGCGAAAGCAGGUCAUAGUGAUCCGGUGGUUCUGAAUGGAAGGGCCAUCGCUCAACGGAUAAAAGGUACUCCGGGGAUAACAGGCUGAUACCGCCCAAGAGUUCAUAUCGACGGCGGUGUUUGGCACCUCGAUGUCGGCUCAUCACAUCCUGGGGCUGAAGUAGGUCCCAAGGGUAUGGCUGUUCGCCAUUUAAAGUGGUACGCGAGCUGGGUUUAGAACGUCGUGAGACAGUUCGGUCCCUAUCUGCCGUGGGCGCUGGAGAACUGAGGGGGGCUGCUCCUAGUACGAGAGGACCGGAGUGGACGCAUCACUGGUGUUCGGGUUGUCAUGCCAAUGGCACUGCCCGGUAGCUAAAUGCGGAAGAGAUAAGUGCUGAAAGCAUCUAAGCACGAAACUUGCCCCGAGAUGAGUUCUCCCUGACCCUUUAAGGGUCCUGAAGGAACGUUGAAGACGACGACGUUGAUAGGCCGGGUGUGUAAGCGCAGCGAUGCGUUGAGCUAACCGGUACUAAUGAACCGUGAGGCUUAACCUU
Molecule: ribosomal RNA, 2903 nt
Filed under: Escherichia coli
Lineage: Bacteria; Pseudomonadati; Pseudomonadota; Gammaproteobacteria; Enterobacterales; Enterobacteriaceae
Description: 23S ribosomal RNA
Rfam family: Bacterial large subunit ribosomal RNA
Source: RNAcentral